UACGUAGGGUGCGAGCGUUAAUCGGAAUUACUGGGCGUAAAGCGUGCGCAGGCGGUUCGUUGUGUCGGUGGUGAAAUCCCCGGGCUUAACCUGGGAAUGGCCAUGGAAACUGGCGAACUGGAGUGCGGCAGAGGGGGGUGGAAUUCCGCGUGUAGCAGUGAAAUGCGUAGAGAUGCGGAGGAACACCGAUGGCGAAGGCAGCCCCCUGGGCUAGCACUGACGCUAAGGCACGAAAGCGUGGGGAGCAAACAGG
Molecule: ribosomal RNA, 253 nt
Filed under: uncultured bacterium
Lineage: Bacteria
Description: partial 16S ribosomal RNA
Rfam family: Bacterial small subunit ribosomal RNA
Source: RNAcentral